This 1194-nucleotide long non-coding RNA is filed under the name Manacus vitellinus (golden-collared manakin). RNAcentral describes it as "lncRNA (ENSMVIG00005016345.1)". The stretch from base 74 to 154 matches the Rfam family "let-7 microRNA precursor family". The record is from RNAcentral. Lineage: Eukaryota; Metazoa; Chordata; Aves; Passeriformes; Pipridae.
GAGCUGCAGAGGAGCAGAUGCCUGGAUAAGGAUCAUCUCAGUGCCUCAGGCUGCCACGGUCCCAAGCUGUCCUUGAGGCUGAGGUAGUAGAUUGAAUAGUUGUGGAGUCUGGUCCUCCCUUUGAGCUAACUAUACAAUCUACUGUCUUUCCUAAGGAGACAGUCAGGUCUUCAGGUCUCAUCAUCUACUUCUACACCAAGUUCUCAUCAUCUACUUCUACACCCAGCGUGGAGGCAGGUGGUGCAAGGAAAGCAAAUCUGUGAAUCUGCAGCGUCCCUGAGUCGGACGAGACCUCCGUUCUGCUCUGUGGAGGCAGGUAGCACGUCUGACAACAGACAUGUGAGAAGAGGUCACGCUUCAGAGCUCUGGCCCUUGGCAAGGAACAGGGAAUUGUUAAUUCCUCUCUUUCUUAGGAGCAGAUGGGACUAUCCCUCUGCCGUUUUCCAAAGUAAGCAGGAUCAAGAUCAUGAGUGGAGCUGUAACACGAUCAGGGCUGCACCAGUUCUACAAGACCAAAGGAUAUUUCAGGCCAUUAUCAGGACCAUCUCACUGCCAGGGAGACACGUGAGACCCGAGACACCCGGGAGCGAGGGCGAGCAGAGGACACCUUCUCAGAUGAAGUGGGAGGGAGGGAGCUGCAAAGAGAAAUGGGAGCCCUCAAAUUUCACCCUGAGCAAACACACAGGGACAGCCAGACCUGACUGCUUGGGGCUGUGGGACUCCCCAGAAUGAAGCAGCUCGUUUAAGGCUCCUCUGCUGGGAUGGGGUGUAGCUGCAGCGAGGCUGGGACACAGCUGGUGGGUGGGGAUGCUGCAGUGUGUAGCAGGGAAGGAAUGCAGCCCUCUCUCCAUAAAUCUGGCUUUUCUGCACUCCUGGAGACUUGCUGUUCAAAACUACAGCUUGGUCCUCUUAGCUGCAUUACUGUCCUCUAGCUGCUUGCUAAGGGGCAGAGCUCCUGCCCACAAAUUGCUUGGAAGGUGCCAAUAUAGCACCACAAGCAUGGGAACAGAGUGGCAUAUCCACUUCAUAUUUAAGAACUAAAUCCCUCAAAAAGAACUAAUCCUGUGUGUCCCAGGUGGAAUCAGCUCAGUCCCCCUCCAUGGCAUCGAUGUUAAUGCAGAGAAUCUCAAGCAGUGAAACUGUGAGCUGGAAGCCAUGAAUAAAAUAUUACUGGAGAUGCUCUCUUGUGAAAAU